Molecule: long non-coding RNA, 829 nt
Organism: Physella acuta
Lineage: Eukaryota; Metazoa; Mollusca; Gastropoda; Physidae
Source: RefSeq, a predicted model, not a curated record
GUGCUCAUCUCAAAUCCUGUAUUUAAACAAUCCGGGCCUGCACGUCAUGUAGCCAUUGUACUGUGAGCCGUUGAUACAAGUACUCACUCGCACGCAUAGACAGUAGAGAUGAUGCAGUUUAUGUGGAUCGCAGUUUGUUGCUUCAUGUUGAUUGCGGGUCAGAGUCUAGAAACACGACCCUCCUACUGCAGCAUGAAGGCCGACAGAGGGACGUGUACGGCUAUCGGCAUGCGAGUGUUCUACAACGCCAAGACCGGCUACUGCGAGAGGUUCUUCUACAAGCGGCUGUGGCGGCAACAGAACAAUUUCUUCACCAGACGGGAGUGUAUGGACAAAUGUAAGGCCAAGCGUAACGGCUGAGGGGAUGUGACGAACGUGACGAAGGAUGGGAUGUGACAACCGUGAGGGCUGAUGGGAUGUGACAAAAGUGACGGCUGAGGGGAUGUGACAAAUUAAAAGGCUAUUCUCCAGCCGUUGGGGUAACGUCAUAGUGGAGAUCUGUCACCAAAAUUGUGACUUAGUCUCCACUCUGUGUUCUUUACCUACGUUUUACAAAAUGUUAUCUCUUUUAGGUAUAUUUUCCCUAAUAAGAUUUUUUUUUCGUUUAGGCAUCACAUUCCAAGACGGUUUAAGUACCCAAUUUAUGUUCAAAAUACCUUAACAAAUUCUUUUUCGUUAAAAUAUUUUCAAAAUUAUUAAUAAAUAAUAAAAAUAUAUACAAUAUUCAACGUUUUUAUGUUAUAAGUUAGAGAGAUAUUUAAAUUCAUUAUUUGUCCUUAACACGAUUCUUAUUUAAAAGAUUUAACUAAAGAACAAACCUGCCACUAAA